RNAcentral lists this unclassified non-coding RNA (602 nucleotides) under Trichophyton interdigitale. RNAcentral describes it as "sequence contains 18S rRNA gene, ITS1, 5.8S rRNA gene, ITS2, 28S rRNA gene". The stretch from base 265 to 418 matches the Rfam family "5.8S ribosomal RNA". Lineage: Eukaryota; Fungi; Ascomycota; Eurotiomycetes; Onygenales; Arthrodermataceae. The record is from RNAcentral.
GAUCAUUAACGCGCAGGCCGGAGGCUGGCCCCCCACGAUAGGGCCAAACGUCCGUCAGGGGUGAGCAGAUGUGCGCCGGCCGUACCGCCCCAUUCUUGUCUACCUUACUCGGUUGCCUCGGCGGGCCGCGCUCUCCCAGGAGAGCCGUUCGGCGAGCCUCUCUUUAGUGGCUAAACGCUGGACCGCGCCCGCCGGAGGACAGACGCAAAAAAAUUCUUUCAGAAGAGCUGUCAGUCUGAGCGUUAGCAAGCAAAAAUCAGUUAAAACUUUCAACAACGGAUCUCUUGGUUCCGGCAUCGAUGAAGAACGCAGCGAAAUGCGAUAAGUAAUGUGAAUUGCAGAAUUCCGUGAAUCAUCGAAUCUUUGAACGCACAUUGCGCCCCCUGGCAUUCCGGGGGGCAUGCCUGUUCGAGCGUCAUUUCAGCCCCUCAAGCCCGGCUUGUGUGAUGGACGACCGUCCGGCGCCCCCGUCUUUGGGGGUGCGGGACGCGCCCGAAAAGCAGUGGCCAGGCCGCGAUUCCGGCUUCCUAGGCGAAUGGGCAACAAACCAGCGCCUCCAGGACCGGCCGCCCUGGCCUCAAAAUCUGUUUUAUACUUAUCAG